AUAAGCGAAUGCGGAUGCCUUGGGAUAUUGAUGCGAUGAAGGACGUGGCGUGCCUGCGAUAAGCAUCGGGGAGGUGGCUAGCAACCUUUGAUCCGGUGAUUUCCGAAUGAGGAAACUCAAUAUGAUUAAUCUCAUAUUAUCUGUCCAGCUUUUUGUACUUUAAAAAUUUAAAGUUUAAAAAGUUGGACAGAAGCGUACCCGGCGAAGUGAAACAUCUCAGUAGCCGGAGGAAAAGAGAACAAAGUUAUCCCCUUAGUAGUGGCGAGCGAACAGGGGGAAGCCUAAACAGAAUCUUUAGAUUCUGGGUUGUAAGGUUGUAGCGUCAGGAGCACUACCUUUUGCUUCGCAAAAGGAAUUAAAAAUUUAAAAUUUUAAAUUUAAAAUUUUUCGCGCGGAGCGCGAGGUAAUGCUUGCUGAGAGAGAAUACAAAAUAAUAGUGUUAAAAGAAGCACCCUGGAAAGGGGCGCCAUAGAGGGUAAUAGCCCCGUAUUCUAAAAUACUUAUUAUGCUCUUUGCUAUGAUUCUUGAGUACUGUCGGGAAUGAUAACCUGGCAGGAAGCAGGCCGAACUAUCGGCCAAGGCUAAAUAAUCAAUAUCACCGAUAGUGAACCAGUACCGUGAGGGAAAGGUGAAAAGUAGGGGGGUGACCCCGGUGAAAUAGUACCUGAAACCAUUUGCUUACAAAGAGUCGGAGCCCCGCCUUUGGCGGGGUGACGGCGUGCUUUUUGCAGAACGAGCCAACGAGUCUGGAUAUAUAAUUGUCUAAGCCCUUUUGGGGCGGAGGCAUAGCGAAAGCGAGUGUUAAAAGCGCGAAUUAUAAUUGUAUAUUCAGGACCCGAAGCGUGACGAGCUUGCCAUGAGCAGGAUGAAUCCCGCCGAAAGGCGGGAGGAGGUCCGAACUAGUGAGGCGUGCAAUCCUCUUGGAUGAUUUGUGGCAAGGAGUGAAAAGCUAAUCGAGUUACGUAAUAGCUGGUUCUUCCCGAAACAGCUUUAGGGCUGGCGUCUAUUAACAGCACACGGGGGUAGAGCACUGAAUAGAAUUCCUUGGAGUUUCUCCAGGUUCUCUAAUCAAACUCCGAAUACCGUGUGUUUUGGAUAGGCAGUUAGACUGCGGGGGCUAAGCUCCGUGGUCAAAAAGGAAACAGCCUAGAUCAUCGUCUAAGGUCCCUAAAUUAGACUAAGUGUUUUUAAGGAAGUAUUUUGCCCUAGACAGGCAGGAAGUUAGCUUAGAGGUAGCUAUCUUUUAAAGAGUGUGUAACAACUCACUGCCCAAAGUCUUUCCUUUGGAAAGGCAGGGGCGAGAUGCGCCAAAGAUUAUCGGGACUAAAGUCUAAUACCGAAGACAUGGAUUACUGCUCCUCACUUUUGUUCGGAGCUCAUCAACGAAUAACGAAUCAAUACGAAUGUACGAAUUAGUAAAUUCGUAACAAAUUCGUAAUUCGAUGAUGAAGCGACGAGCAGUAGCGAGGAGCGGUAGUGGUAGGGAAGCAUUCUGAGGGCACUGAAGCCGAAGUGUAAACGACGGUGGAGCGCUCAGAAGAGAGAAUGUUGGCCUGAGUAACCGCAUUGCAGGUGAAAGCCCUGCACACCGAAAGUCCAAGGUUUCCUUGGCAAUGGUAUUCAACCAAGGGUUAGGCGGUCCUAAGGCAAACCCGAAAGGGGCAGCUGAUGGACAGUCGGUUAAUAUUCCGACCCUCGGAUACAUUUUGAUAGAAAGACGCAUUACAGUAGUUUCAGCGGAUUAUUGGAUUUCACGCUCUUGCACUAAGGUAAAUCAAGGUGCGAGAAAAGCCCCGCCUUUGGCGGGACAAUUGAGAUGAGCGCGAUGCCCAGAAAAAAGCUAUCAAGCUAAUUGUAUUCGAACCGUACCGCAAACCGACACAGGUGGACAAGCGUAAGUAUGCUAAGGUGAACGGGUGAAACCUCGUUAAGGAACUCGGCAAACAAGUGGCCGUAAGUUCGCAAUAUGGCCUUCCCUCCACCGCAAGGUGGUCGGGAUGCAACAAACGUACUUCAAGCGACUGUUUAUCAAAAACACAGCUCCCUGCUAACUCGUAAGAGGAUGUAUAGGGGGUGAGGCCUGACCAGUGUUGGAAUGUUAAGUUUGGGGGUCUGAGCCGUAAGGUUCAGGCUCACUGAAUGAAGCACCAAUGAACGUCGGCGAUAACUAUAAGAUGACGAUUGUAGUUAUAAAACUUCGCUAUAUGCUGGAAACUCUGUAGUAUCUGAUGCUACUAUGUUAUAAUAUAUUAAAGGUGUAUUUACCCCUUUGAUAUUAUGCAAAGUAAAAAAGCAUUCAGUGCAGACAAUCAGCAGGAAAGAAUAGAAAUAUGUGGAUGGAUUACUGGGUUUGUAGAUGGAGAAGGGUCUUUUCUUGUAAAUAUAUUUCAAUCUCCAAGAGCAAAAAAUAAAUGGCAAGUUUUUCCUGAAUUUAAUGUUUCACAAUCAUUAAAAGGAAAAGAUUUGCUUCAUAAAUUAGAAAAAUUUUUUGCUUGCGGACAUAUAUACGCGCACAACGCGAGAAAUAUAAAACAAGGAAAAUGGGACCCUCUCUAUAAAUAUUGCGUCAGAAAUAGAAGCGAAUUGCAAGAAAAAAUUAUUCCUUUUUUCAAAAAUUAUAAAUGUUUUGGCAAAGCCAAAAUAAAUGAUUUUGAAAGAUUUGUUAAAGUUAUUGAAAUGAUGGAUAAGGGAGAACACUUAACAAAAAAGGGAAUGAUAAAAAUUGCAAGAAUCGCAGAAAAAA
Molecule: ribosomal RNA, 2743 nt
Filed under: Candidatus Staskawiczbacteria bacterium RIFCSPLOWO2_01_FULL_37_19
Lineage: Bacteria; Candidatus Staskawicziibacteriota
Description: bacterial LSU rRNA
Rfam family: Bacterial large subunit ribosomal RNA (bases 3-2247)
Source: RNAcentral